GGGAGGAGCUGUGGCUCAGUGUUACAGCAUCUUCUGCACAUGCAGAAGGUCCCAGGUUCAAUCCCAGGCAUACCCA
This 76-nucleotide transfer RNA is filed under the name Sphaerodactylus townsendi. Its description in RNAcentral is "tRNA-Val". Lineage: Eukaryota; Metazoa; Chordata; Lepidosauria; Squamata; Sphaerodactylidae. The record is from RNAcentral.